Long non-coding RNA from Solanum pennellii, 801 nucleotides. RefSeq lists it as uncharacterized. The transcript is spliced from 2 exons. Lineage: Eukaryota; Viridiplantae; Streptophyta; Magnoliopsida; Solanales; Solanaceae. The record is from RefSeq and is a predicted model, not a curated record.
UUACUUCUCUGCAAACUCAAACACGUAAAAGAAAUUGAUUUACAUACUUUACUUUUGAUUGAUUUUUUGUUUUGCAUUUGUAAUCUGGAAGUCCAAAGAGGGUCUUGCAUUCUCUGAGUCUCUGCUGAGAAUUAUCAGGUCCUGUCUGGAAAAAUGAGGUCAACAGUCUAUCAGGGCAGAUGAGCGAGUUCGUCUGGAAGAACUGUGUGGGAAGGUUCAAGAUGGGAGGAGGAGUCUCAAACAAUUGUCGCUGCCAGAUUAAGAGAGGAUGCUUCAGUAGUCACUUGAACUUGAUGACAGUUCAAAUGUGAUCAGGGAGAGGUUGCUGCAUGAGAGAAGGAAACCAUUUAUGCGGAGCUGUUCUUUGCACAGAAGCCUGAUCCAUCUUUUGAUAAUGAUGAAGAUAUUAUGUUUGAAAAAAGUAAUUACAGAAAUAAACAAUAUCGCCUUGAAUGAUGAUUAGAGUGUUGAAUUUGAAGUGGCUGAUGAUGAUAACCAUGUCUUAAAUCACAAGUCUCCUAGAGGCAUGGAAAUAUAUUUUGAGAAACUUCUCCAGGUGCAAAACUCAGAGCAAGGUACUGCAGAGGUCAAAAUUUUUGUCAGGAGAUUCAGAAAAAUCUUCACAACUUCACAACAAGGUAUCUUUUAGUCCAGGAGAUCCUUUGCUUGGGACCAGGUUUCAAGUUGUUAAUCCUUACAUCUAUGUAAAUGGGAUUGAAAUUCUGUUUGACUGUUAAACAUGAAGUUGUCAGUAUAAGUUUGCCAUAAAUAAUUUGGAAAAGAGGACUGCUUCUUCCCAAA